Molecule: ribosomal RNA, 388 nt
Filed under: uncultured bacterium
Lineage: Bacteria
Description: bacterial SSU rRNA
Rfam family: Bacterial small subunit ribosomal RNA
Source: RNAcentral
GACGAACGCUGGCGGCGUGCUUAACACAUGCAAGUCGAGCGGUAAGGCCCUUUCGGGGGUACACGAGCGGCGAACGGGUGAGUAACACGUGGGUGACCUGCCCUCAGCUCUGGGAUAAGCCUGGGAAACCGGGUCUAAUACCGGAUAUGACUCCAUGACGCAUGUUGUGGGGUGGAAAGCCUUGUGCGGCUGAGGAUGGGCCCGCGGCCUAUCAGCUUGUUGGUGGGGUGAGGCCUACCAAGGCGACGACGGGUAGCCGGCCUGAGAGGGCGACCGGCCACACUGGGACUGAGACACGGCCAGACUCCUACGGGAGGCAGCAGUGGGGAAUCUUGCGCAAUGGGCGAAGGCCUGACGCAGCGACGCCGCGUGAGGGAUGACGGCCUGG